This is a long non-coding RNA of Leucoraja erinaceus (little skate), 5009 nucleotides long. RefSeq lists it as uncharacterized. The transcript is spliced from 3 exons. Lineage: Eukaryota; Metazoa; Chordata; Chondrichthyes; Rajiformes; Rajidae. The record is from RefSeq and is a predicted model, not a curated record.
AUAAAAGGGUGGGAAGGUUAAGGGAAAGAAUUCCAGCAUGAGUUGUUGUUCUCUGUAAUUACAGCUAUCAAUGCUGUUUUGAUUACAUGUCGGGAUGAUCAAGAAGACAGAGAUAGAAAUGCACAGGUAUCUUGGGUUGAGGGGAUAAUACAGAUAAAGGCACCCACAACACAAUGGCAAGAUACCAAAGCAAAAGUGGUAAUUUUAUAUUUGGGCUGUUGCUUUACUGUAGUUUGCGUAUACUGGAACUUUUGGGGUGAUUGCUCAAAGAGGUUUGAUUCACACUUGAAAUUUGGCAGCAAAGCUUUGAAUAAUCUUUAUUUUUUUUUUUGUACAAAGGAGGCUAAUUAGGAAGGUUUGACACAGUCAAAUCUGGAAGCACUGCCGGCAUUUAUUGUUUUAUGUGGUGCAGUUGUGACCUGAAGCAUUGACUCUCUUUCUCCUCAGAUGCCGCCUGACUUGCUGAAUAUUUUCCAGCAUUUUCCAUUUUUGUUUCAGAUUUGAGGCAUGUAUAAUGUUCGUUAAAUGGCUUGGUGCUUUAUCUGUUCAUGUCCUGCACAGUAUGGAAUUGUUUUACAACGUGAAGCCACGGAGCUCGCAGCAACAAAUGCCUGCAAUACCAGUGUCGAGACAGUUGAGGGAGCUGCAGAGCCAUUGACUGUAGUGCAGAUAUUGGUAAACACCAGUGGAUGCAGUUGUCAAAAGAAACUGUACUACAGUUCUAAGUGAUGUUCUCAUCCUUGUUUGUGGAAACUUGGUGGGCAGCCUGGCAGGCGACUGACUUGUCUACCUUUGACUGUGAAUACAGCCCACAGAGCUUCUCAACCACUGCCUGCAACCUGGAGACUCCAUGACACUGCGUAGCUCUACCUGACCAGUGAGGCCAAACACAAAGUUAACGAACAGCAUCUCAUAGUUCGCCUGGGUGGUCCACAAGCUGAUGGUGUAAACUUUGAAUUCUCCAUUGUUGGGUAGCCGACAUCCUCUCAUAAUGUCUUUGCCGAACCUGAUGCCAAGUUAAACUAAUCUCCUGUAUGUGAUCCAUAUCUCUGCAUAUUCAUGUGCCUGUCCAAAAGCCUCUCAGAUGGCACUAAAGUAUCUUCCUUCACCAUCACCCCUCGCAGUGCGUUCCAGGCACCCGUAUGGUUUGUGGUGCACACAGGAGAAUGAGGAACCUGUUUCACUGCUGUGUGACUGUAAUGGAUUCAGGUGAUGCUGAGUAUACUUUAGGAUGGACAAGAGUUGGACAUAAAUGUAAAUGUGGAAGAGGUUUACCAGAAUGCUGUCUGGAUUAGAAGGUAUUAGCAAUAAAGAGAGGGUUUUUUUUCGGAGAAUGAGGGGAGACUUGACAAAAGUACAUAAAAUUAUGAGAUUUUAAAAAUAGGAUAGACAGUCAGGCAGUCAACCUUUUUUCCCCAUCAUGGAAAUGUCAAGGACUAGAGGCAUAGCCUUCUCUGUAAAAAACUUGCCUCGUACAUACACACUUCUUUUCUUUUUUUUUUCACUUAUUCUUUAUUGCUUUCAUGCAUACACAAAUAAAACACAAAUAUAACAACGAAACAUACAACAAUGCAAUGAAACGUACAACAGUGCAGCGGGGGCAUUCAAUUUACAAUUAAUGAUGCAGCAUACAGAACUAUUUUCUUAUUAAAACAUUUUCCAAUAACUUACAUUAUUGUCAAUAAAAUUAUACAGUGUUGAUGUCUUUAUUUCUAUACCUAAUCCAUUUCCCCCAUUUUCUGUUAAACUCGUCUUCUUUCACUCUUAGAGAAUACGUCAUUUUCUCCAUGACAAAUAUUUCCUGUACUAAGUCUAACCAUUGUCUAAGUCUGGGUGUGUCCGCUGCAAGCCAGUUUCUUGUAAUGGCCUUUCUGCCAGCUGUAAGUAGGAUUUUAACCAAGUAAUGAUCUUCCUUCAGCACCACUGUAUUUAUGUUACCCAGGUAUAAAAUGGAACACUUCUUGGAGACUAUAUAUCCUAAUACCUCGUUUAAUUCUGAAUUCACUCUGACCCCAAAUGGUUCUAUUUUUGGGCGACUCCAGAAGAUAUGUACAUGAUUUGCGUCUGUUUCGCCACUUUGCCUCCAGCAUGUUUGCUGCCUUAGAAUUUGCUUGCUUUUUAUGUUAGGCGUAAUGAAGAAACAAAUCAAAAAUUUCCAAUUAAAUUAAGUAAGUAAGUAAAUUUAUUGGCCAAGUAUUCACAUACAAGGAAUUUGCCUUGGUGCUCCACCCACAAGUAACAACAUGACAUACAGUGACAGUUACGAAUGACUCGGAAAACAGUAAACAUUAAUAAUAAUAAAACAUUAAUGAUAAAACACCAUUGAUCAAGCAUGUGAACCAACAAAAUACCAGAUCAAAGGGAGGCUACAGAUUUUUGGUUGUUGAGUAGAGCAACUACUCUCUCCAUUUUUGUGAAUUAGUGGAUGUCUUUAUUGUUACACACAUAUGAUGCCAUUCUUCUUCUGAGAUUGUGAUGUUCAAUUCCUUUUCCCACUUAAAUUUUACAUAAAAUGUCGUUUUAGCUUGACAUUCCAUUAAACUAUGAUAAAGUUUAGAAAUAAUCCUUAAUGGGUUUUGAUGAUGCGCAUUAACUAUCACUUCUAUCACUGGAUUAUUUCUUCUCAUGCCUCCCUUUUUACUUUUUUAUUGUAGUAAUCUCUCAGUUGGAGGUAUCUAAACAAGUCUUAGUUCCGAAGUGCAAAUCUAUCCUUCAAAUCUUGAAAACAUCUUAGUCUCCAAUUUCAGAAACAGUUCAUUCCUUUCUUCAUCCACUCUUUAAAUGUUGAGUCAUACAUCCCUGGUUUAAAUUAAUUAUCCAAAGCUAUCCAUCUUAAAACUUUUUGUCGUUUAUUCAGUUUAAGUUGUCUGGUAAGAGUGAACCAGGUUUCUAAAGUAAAUAUCAUUAUUGGAUCGAUUAUACUCCUGAAAUGUCCAGGAAGUGCUUUUUCUUCCAAGAGUGUUUGGAUGUGGAAGUCAGGGAUAUAUGUCUCAAUCUCUUUCCACCUAGCUAUAUAGCUGUCCUCACACCAAUUAAUUAAUGGUCGAAAUUGGGCUGCAUAGAAAUAUAUCCUAAAAUUUGGAGGUGCCAUUCCACCUUUAUCCUUUGGCAACUGGAGUGUAGUGUAUCGAACUCUGGCCUUCUUUCCUCCCCAAAUAGAUCUAGAUAUUAAUUUAUCCCAUUCCGUGAAUUGUUUUAAUGCUAUCUCUAUUGGCAGAGAUUGAAAUAAGUACAAUAGCCUUGGCAAAAUAUUCAUUUUCACCACAUUUAUCUUACUACUAAAAUCCAUUGGGUAGGUGGACCAUCUUUUGAUAUCCUUUCUUAUGUUUUGGUUGAUGUGAUUAUAAUUGGCCCCAUACAACAUUGAUAUAUGUUUUGUUAUAUGUACCCCUAGGUAUCUGAUUGAUUUUGACUCCCAUUUUAUAUUAUACAUUUGCUUGAUUUCUUCUGGAGGAGCACACUUCUUUUCAACACCUCUAGGCCGAAAACUGCAGAGCCAGGCCACAGUCUAGCAAAUGAUGGCGGAGGUCUCAGCUUCUUCUGAAACACACGGUGUCUCAAUGCAGCAAAGGCACCUCAGCCUACUGCACCAAAGCCUUGCUCGCUCACAGAUUGCCCCAGCUCUCCACCAGCCAGGAGCAGACUAUGUCAGCGCAUGAUUCAUAUCUUGGUGUAGGUUUCUUGGUGUAGGUUUCUAGGUGUGAUGUCUGCACUGCAGUCUGCCUUCCAGCAGGUUACAAGCUCAUCUGAUACCACAGUUUCGGAAUUAGUGCCAGUGUCUGGAAGAAUGGAAUGAUUUUUUUCAGGCACUUAUUUCAGGAUGGGAAAGUUUUAUUGUUAGUUGAGUUGCUGCCUCACAGCUCCAAUGGUUUGGCUUCAAUCCUGACCUCGGGUGCUCUCUAUGUAGAGUUUGCAUGUUCUACCUGUGACAGUAUGCGUUUGCCUACUGUGCUCGAUUUCUUCUUGCAUCUCAAAGCCCUGCAGUUCGGUAGGUUAAUUGGCCGCGUAAAUUGUCCUUAGCUUGUAGGUGAAUACAAGAUUGGUAAGUUGAUGAGAAUGCAGCAUUAAUGUGGGAAUAGUGUAAAUGGGCUGUACAAUACCUUGAUCGGCCCAAGGACUUGUUUCCGUGCUCUGCCUCUCUAUGACUUUGACCGUGAAGCGUGGUCUUCUCAGUGAGUCACGGCUGGAAUGUUACUUCCUCACUGCGGUGUCACAGGUGACAACUCAUAAAGAAAAUGCACGUUAUCGGAAAGGGGAGGAUCCACACUGUGAUCGCCAUUGACCACAUGAGCACAACUGGCAGGCAACGUCAUACAGACAAGAGGGACACGCACAUACACACACAGAUAUGUACAGACACGCACAUGCACACACACACAAUAGUUUAGUUUAUUAUUGUCAUGUGUACCGAGGUACAGUGAAAAGCUUUUAUUUGCGUGCUAUCCAGUCAAAAAGACUAUACAUGAUUGCAAUCAAGCCGUUUGCAAUGCACGGAUGAAGGAUAAAGGGCACAACAUUUAGUGCAAGAUAAAGUAUGAUAAUGUCUGAUUAAGGAUAGUUCAAAGGUCUCCAAUGAGGUAGAUAGGAGGCCAGGACUGCCCACUAGCUGAUAGGUGGACCAUUCAGUUCUCUGAUAACAGCUGGGAAGAAAUUGUUACCUGAAUUUAGAGGUAUGCAUUUUAAAACUACCUUUUACCUGAUGGGAGAAGGGAGAAGUGGGGGUGAGACUGGUGCUUGAUUAUGCUGUUGGUAUUACCAAGGCAACAUGAAUUCAAUAGAAGGAGGAUGGAGUCAAUAGAAGGGAAGUUGGUUUGCGUGAUGGUCUGGGCUACGUCCACAACUCUGCAAUUUCUUACCAAAUUGGAUGGAGGUGUUUCCAAACCAUUAACACACAUUCACCCAAGGACACACACACGCACAAACUCAGAUGCAUACGUACACAAGCAAACACACAUGUAUAGUACGUGAAGUGUUCAAACUGCAUGGAUUGUUAAUACAAAUUAAUAACG